This is a long non-coding RNA of Sinocyclocheilus grahami, 300 nucleotides long. RefSeq lists it as uncharacterized. Lineage: Eukaryota; Metazoa; Chordata; Actinopteri; Cypriniformes; Cyprinidae. The record is from RefSeq and is a predicted model, not a curated record. The transcript is spliced from 2 exons.
GUAGAGGAGGAAAAGCCAUCCCCGUCCUCCUCAAACAGAUCUCCAAACAUGACCGCUGCUGCCUUGUAAAGCUUAGUCUUGCUCCCGAUUAACAAUCAAUGGGCUCACCCUGGAAUACGACGACUUAACAGGACUAAACAUCGCCUUUAUAAACCAAAAGAACUAAACUUAUCGCCCCGUUUAAGUGUCGUGACGUUCCUCUGGAUGAAUCACAGGUGUCGCCUGUAAAUCUCAGUCUUUAAAACGCAAAGUGGAAAUCUGAGAGGCGACUGCACUGCUUCCAUAUUUCACCAUUGAGAU